GGGUGCGUGUGUGUGUGUGUGUGUGUGUGUGUGUGUGUGUGUGUGUGUGCGUGCGCGUGCGCGCCGGCGCACGCUGCAC
RNAcentral lists this microRNA precursor (79 nucleotides) under Choloepus hoffmanni (Hoffmann's two-fingered sloth). RNAcentral's name for it is "miRNA (ENSCHOG00000015196.1)". Lineage: Eukaryota; Metazoa; Chordata; Mammalia; Pilosa; Megalonychidae. The record is from RNAcentral.